AUGCUUGAUUUUGACUCCGAAGACAUCGACGAUAUGGACGACGAUACCGGGGUAGAACAGGAACCACCGCCCACAGGGCGCUGGACAGCCACCUCAUCAUAUGACAUAUACAUGGUGGACACACCCAAAGAAAACAAUGGUGAGGAGCAGAAGGAUGCAACGACUCCUGAGAAGCAGCCAAAGCGCCGACAUCAGUGGCGCCGCUCUAAACCCCGCCAUAGCAAAAACAGUGAUACUGGUACAAGAAAGAAUAACACCCCAAACAAUGCCGAAGACAAUGACGACCCCGCAGACCCAGCGAUGAAGCAGGAUGGGCCAGGAGACGGCAAACACAGUCCAGGGCCGCUGUCCGAUCACAGCGAUGCCGAAGACAAAACUUAUAAACCUGUCUCUGGAGAGGAGAACAGUCCGGACGAUGAUGCACACAUCAUCUCGGAAAAGCACUUGGAACAAGAGCACCUCCACAAAAGGCUUAUUGCCACCGUGAGGAGCUUGAAGAAGCAGAAGCAAUGGCUUAAAGCCGCGCAGGAUAUGCUCAACCAUAGAUGGAACAAAGUGCUCGACACUGACGAAAUAUACGGCGGUGAUCGCCACACAAAGAGCUACCCAAAACGCAAGCUGCUACCCGAAUUCGACGACGAGGCUAUCGCGCCCAUUCCGCCAAAAAACAACACGACCGAUCUGCCGGACCGACCACCCCGUGGCCGAGACAGAGCGGCUAAUGACGCUGCACACAAGUCAGCACACGGUCUACGUGAGCACCUGGACAAAAGAGCUGGUAUGACCAAGUCCAUCUAUGGAUCUAGGAAACGUGUUCCUACGUAG
RNAcentral lists this ribosomal RNA (825 nucleotides) under Triticum aestivum (bread wheat). Its description in RNAcentral is "partial small subunit ribosomal RNA". The record is from RNAcentral. Lineage: Eukaryota; Viridiplantae; Streptophyta; Magnoliopsida; Poales; Poaceae.